This 700-nucleotide ribosomal RNA is filed under the name uncultured dinoflagellate. Its description in RNAcentral is "SSU rRNA". It matches the Rfam family "Eukaryotic small subunit ribosomal RNA", at positions 433 to 1139 of the family's 1831-position model. The record is from RNAcentral. Lineage: Eukaryota; Dinophyceae.
CGCGCAAAUUACCCAAUCCUGACACAGGGAGGUAGUGACAAGAAAUAACAAUACAGGGCAUCCAUGUCUUGUAAUUGGAAUGAGUAGAAUUUAAAUCCCUCUACGAGUAUCAAUUGGAGGGCAAGUCUGGUGCCAGCAGCCGCGGUAAUUCCAGCUCCAAUAGCGUAUAUUAAAGUUGUUGCGGUUAAAAAGCUCGUAGUUGGAUUUCUGCUGAAGCAAACCGGUCCGCCCUCUGGGUGAGCAUCUGGUUUUGUUUUGGCAUAUGCUUAGACUUUGCAGCUGCACUUGACUGUGUGGUGUGAAGGCUGAGCCAUUUACUUUGAGGAAAUCAGAGUGUUUCAAGCGGGCCAUUGCCUUGAAUACACUAGCAUGGAAUAAUAUGAUAUGACUGUGGUUUUAUUUUGUUGGCUUUUAGAAUUAGAGUAAUGGUUAAUAGGGAUAGUUGGGGGCAUUCAUAUUUAACUGCCAGAGGUGAAAUUCUUGGAUUUGUUAAAGACAAACUACUGCGAAAGCAUUUGCCAAGGAUGUUUUCUUUGAUCAAGAACGAAAGUUAGGGGAUCGAAGACGAUCAGAUACCGUCCUAGUCUUAACCAUAAACUAUGCCAACUAGAGAUUGGAGGUCGUUAUGCACACGAUUCCUUCAGCAUCCUAUGAGAAAUCAAAGUCUUUGGGUUCCGGGGGGAGUAUGGUCGCAAGGCUG